UACGGGGGGAGCAAGCGUUGUUCGGAUUUACUGGGCGUAAAGGGCGCGUAGGCGGUCGUGACAAGUCACUUGUGAAAUCUCCGGGCUUAACUCGGAACGGUCAAGUGAUACUGUCGGACUAGAGUGCGGAAGGGGCUACUGGAAUUCUCGGUGUAGCGGUGAAAUGCGUAGAUAUCGAGAGGAACACCUGCGGCGAAGGCGGGUUGCUGGGCUGAUACUGACGCUGAGGCGCGAAAGCCAGGGGAGCGAACGGG
RNAcentral lists this ribosomal RNA (254 nucleotides) under uncultured bacterium. RNAcentral describes it as "partial 16S ribosomal RNA". It matches the Rfam family "Bacterial small subunit ribosomal RNA", at positions 524 to 776 of the family's 1533-position model. The record is from RNAcentral.